Molecule: ribosomal RNA, 2997 nt
Filed under: bacterium
Lineage: Bacteria
Description: 23S ribosomal RNA
Rfam family: Bacterial large subunit ribosomal RNA
Source: RNAcentral
GGUUAAGUUACUAAGGGCGCAUGGUGGAUGCCUUGGAGUCGUCGAGCGAUGAAGGACGUGGUAAGCUGCGAUAAGCCUCGGGGAGCUGCAAACAAGCUUUGAUCCGGGGAUUUCCGAAUGGGGAAACCCACUGCGGGUAAACCUGCAGUACUCUGGCCUGAAUACAUAGGGCCAAGAGGGCGUACGAGGGGAAUUGAAACAUCUCAGUACCCUCAGGAACAGAAAAUAACAAUGAUUCUCCUAGUAGCGGCGAGCGAACGGGGAACAGCCUAAACCGAUGCCGUGUCAAGCUGACGGGCGUUGCGUCAUCGGUGUUGCGGGACCUUUCAGGGAGCUCCGUUAAGUUCCCAGGGAGUUACAAAGAUCAAUCAUAGCCGAGCGGCCUGGAAAGGCCGGCCACAGAGGGUGACAGCCCCGUAGGCGAAAUGGUUGGACCUCCCGAGAGUCAUCCCAAGUACCGCGGGACACGAGAAAUCCUGUGGGAAUCUGGCAGGACCAUCUGCCAAGGCUAAAUAUCCGACGACUACCGAUAGUGAACCAGUACCGUGAGGGAAAGGUGAAAAGCACCCCUGGCGGGGAGUGAAAUAGUACCUGAAACCAUGCGCUUACAAGCAGUCGGAGGGCCUUCGGGCCUGACGGCGUGCCUUUUGCAUAAUGAGCCGGUGAGUUAUCGUGUGCAGCAAGGUUAAGUGUCGCAGGCACGGAGCCGUAGCGAAAGCGAGUCUGAAUAGGGCGCGAAGUUGCACGCGGUAGACCCGAAGCUGGGUGAUCUUGCCAUGACCAGGAUGAAGCGCAAGUAACAUUGCGUGGAAGUCCGAACCAGGGUGGGUUGAAAACCGCUUGGAUGAGUUGUGGCAAGGGGUGAAAGGCCAAUCAAACCCAGUGAUAGCUGGUUCUCCCCGAAAUACAUUUUGGUGUAGCCUCGGGAACUGUUAGACGGAGGUAGAGCACUGAAUGGGUUAGGGGCCCUAAAAGGUUUACCGACCCCAAUCAAACUCCGAAUGCCGUACUAAUGAAUCCCGGGAGACAGGCUUUGGGUGAUAAGAUCCAGGGCCGAGAGGGAAAGAGCCCAGACCAACAGCUAAGGUCCCUAAAUCGAGGCUAAGUGUUGAAGGAUGUCGGAUCGCACAGACACCUAGGAGGUUGGCUUAGAAGCAGCCAUCCUUUAAAGAAAGCGUAAUAGCUCACUAGUUAAGCGAUCUGGCGCCGAAAAUAAUCGGGACUCAAGCCUUGUACCGAAGCUUUGGAUUCGUGCCUUCGGGCACGUCUGGUAGGGGAGCAUUCCGUAGGUGGUUGAAGCCGCGUCGUAAGGCUCGGUGGACACAUCGGAAGGGCUUAUGCCGGCAUGAGUAGCGAUAAUGCGGGUGAGAAACCCGCACACCGUAAACCUAAGGUUUCCUGAGGAAGGCUCGUCCUCUCAGGGUUAGUCGGAUCCUAAGUCGAGGCCGAAAGGCGUAGACGAUGGGAAUCCGGUCAAAAUUCCGGAACCUGUUUUGUUUCGUUUGUACGAUGGGGUGACGCAGAAGUGAAAGGACAGCCGGCUGAUGGAUGCCGGUCCAAGCGUGUAGGCGUGAAGCUUAGGCAAAUCCGGGCUUCUUAUACGCCGAGGCGUGAUGGAGGAACAACCCUUCGGGGGAGCCAAUUGUCCCUAAUCAGGCUGCCGAGAAAAGCCUCUAAGGAGAGACAAGACAGACCGUACCGUAAACCGACACAGGUGGGUGAGGAGAGUAUCCUAAGGUGCUCGAGAGAACCCUGGUGAAGGAACUCGGCAAAAUGGCUCCGUAACUUCGGGAGAAGGAGCGCCACAAGUACGUGAAGCGAUUCGCUCGUGAAGCAGAAAGUGGCCGCAGUGAAAAGGCGUUGGCGACUGUUUACUAAAAACACAGGUCUCUGCGAAAUCGAAAGAUGACGUAUAGGGACUGACACCUGCCCGGUGCCGAUCUGUUAAGAGGGAGAGGUUAGCCUUCGGGCGAAGCUUUGAAUCGAAGCCUCGGUAAACGGCGGCCGUAACUAUAACGGUCCUAAGGUAGCGAAAUUCCUUGUCGGGUAAGUUCCGACCUGCACGAAUGGUGUAACGAUCGACGCGCUGUCUCCACCAGGGGCUCGGCGAAAUUGAGUUGGCGGUGAAAACGCCGCCUACCCGCGACUAGACGGAAAGACCCCGUGCACCUUUACUGCAACUUCACAUUGGGUCUUGGCAUUACUUGUGUAGGAUAGCUGGGAGGCUGUGAAACGGGCACGCCAGUGUUCGUGGAGCCAACGUUGAAAUACCAGCCUGGUGAUGUUAGGAUUCUAACUCCGUUCCGUAAUCCGGGCGGAGGACAGUGUGUGGUGGGUAGUUUGGCUGGGGCGGUCGCCUCCGAAAAAGUAACGGAGGCGCGCAAAGGUUCCCUCAGCGUGUUUGGUAAUCACGCGACGAGUGUAAUGGCAUAAGGGAGCUUAACUGCGAGACCUACAAGUCGAGCAGAUGCGAAAGCAGGUCAUAGUGAUCCGGCGGUCCCGCAUGGAAGGGCCGUUGCUCAUCGGAUAAAAGGUACGCCGGGGAUAACAGGCUGAUCUCCCCCAAGAGUCCACAUCGACGGGGAGGUUUGGCACCUCGAUGUCGGCUCAUCACAUCCUGGGGCUGGAGAAGGUCCCAAGGGUUUGGCUGUUCGCCAAUUAAAGUGGUACGCGAGCUGGGUUUAGAACGUCGUGAGACAGUUCGGUCCCUAUCUGUCGUGGGCGCAGGAUAUUUGAAAGGCGCUGUCCCUAGUACGAGAGGACCGGGAUGGACGUACCACUAGUGUACCAGUUGUCUCGCCAGAGGCAGUGCUGGGUAGCUAGGUACGGCCGGGAUAAACGCUGAAAGCAUAUAAGCGUGAAGCCCCUCCUAAGAUAAGAUCUCCCGGACGAAAGUCCCUGAAGGCUCGAGGUAGACUACCUCGUUGAUAGGCUACAGGUGUAAGCGCAGUAAUGCGUUCAGCCGAGUAGUACUAAUAAGCCGUGAGGCUUAAUCAU